Non-coding RNA from Brassica napus (rape), 111 nucleotides. The record is from Rfam. Lineage: Eukaryota; Viridiplantae; Streptophyta; Magnoliopsida; Brassicales; Brassicaceae.
GCUGUUGAGGAAAUCCAAGUUUGCGAGGAGUAGUGGAGCUGAGACCCUGUUUUCAGGGAGAACCCCUUGGCAGAAACUGCAAUUCUAUGAAGUUUAUGGAUUAACUGAGGC